GUACUCUGGUUUCUCUUCAGAUUGCAUAAAUCUUUCACCUUUUACUAAAGAUUUCCAUGGAGAGGAACAAUUCUGAGUCUUUAUCCAAUUUUUUGAGGCCUGUUUUCAGCAAGGCU
Molecule: small nuclear RNA, 116 nt
Filed under: Aotus nancymaae (Ma's night monkey)
Lineage: Eukaryota; Metazoa; Chordata; Mammalia; Primates; Aotidae
Description: U5 spliceosomal RNA (ENSANAG00000001068.1)
Rfam family: U5 spliceosomal RNA
About the family: U5 RNA is a component of both types of known spliceosome. The precise function of this molecule is unknown, though it is known that the 5' loop is required for splice site selection and p220 binding, and that both the 3' stem-loop and the Sm site are important for Sm protein binding and cap methylation.
Source: Rfam by way of RNAcentral